CGGAACUCCUGGAGCACACAACUGCGCUCUCUGCUUUGUGACGCGUGGGGAAAUUCACGCGCGAGUGUGCGGUAGAGCAGGUCCGGCUGUGGAUCUUGCCCAGCGCUGGGCUCAGGGCCUGGCAUGACCAGGGCUGGAAAAGCAGAAUAACUCGCACACGGAGGAAAGCCGCGCUUAUUCUUUCUGGAUCUCCACUCCUGGCGGGAAAGAGAUUGCCAGCCACAGAGGGACCGGCCUGCAGCCCUGAAGGACAUCCCUUUUUCUUUAAGAAUGCUGAAGAAGAAGUUAUUUUCAGGACUUCAGGUGAGCUUUCUUGUGACCCUUAGAAGGAGGAGCAGGGUUUUGAAUAUGUAGGAUAACAGCUAG
RNAcentral lists this long non-coding RNA (366 nucleotides) under Chinchilla lanigera (long-tailed chinchilla). RNAcentral describes it as "lncRNA (ENSCLAG00000025996.1)". The record is from RNAcentral. Lineage: Eukaryota; Metazoa; Chordata; Mammalia; Rodentia; Chinchillidae.